UGGGGAAUUUUGGACAAUGGGGGCAACCCUGAUCCAGCAAUGCCGCGUGUGUGAAGAAGGCCUUCGGGUUGUAAAGCACUUUUGUCCGGAAAGAAACGCCGUGGUUAAUACCCGUGGCGGAUGACGGUACCGGAAGAAUAAGCACCGGCUAACUACGUGCCAGCAGCCGCGGUAAUACGUAGGGUGCAAGCGUUAAUCGGAAUUACUGGGCGUAAGCGUGCGCAGGCGGUCCGCUAAGACAGAUGUGAAAUCCCCGGGCUUAACCUGGGAACUGCAUUUGUGACUGGCGGGCUAGAGUAUGGCAGAGGGGGGUAGAAUUCCACGUGUAGCAGUGAAAUGCGUAGAGAUGUGGAGGAAUACCGAUGGCGAAGGCAGCCCCCUGGGCCAAUACUGACGCUCAUGCACGAAAGCGUGGGGGAGCAAACAGGAUUAGAUACCCUGGUAGUCCACGCCCU
Molecule: ribosomal RNA, 455 nt
Filed under: uncultured bacterium
Lineage: Bacteria
Description: partial 16S ribosomal RNA
Rfam family: Bacterial small subunit ribosomal RNA
Source: RNAcentral